GGGCCCGCACAAGCGGUGGAGCAUGUGGUUUAAUUCGAUGAUACGCGAGGAACCUUACCAGGGCUUAAAUGUAGAGCGACAGAGGUGGAAACACCUCCUUCUUCGGACGGUCUACAAGGUGCUGCAUGGUUGUCGUCAGCUCGUGCUGUGAAGUGUCGGGUUAAGUCCCAUAACGAGCGCAACCCCUAUUUCUAGUUGCCAGCGGUUCGGCCGGGGACUCUAGAGAAACUGCCAGCGUAAGCUGUGAGGAAGGUGGGGAUGACGUCAAAUCAUCACGGCCCUUACGUCCUGGGCCACACACGUGCUACAAUGGUGGAGACAGUGGGUUAAUCCCAAAAACUAUCUCAGUUCGGAUUGUCGUCUGCAACUCGACGGCAUG
This 379-nucleotide ribosomal RNA is filed under the name uncultured bacterium. Its description in RNAcentral is "bacterial SSU rRNA". It matches the Rfam family "Bacterial small subunit ribosomal RNA", at positions 917 to 1322 of the family's 1533-position model. The record is from RNAcentral.